CCACUAAACAGCUAGCCUCAACAAGUAAAACUCAACAAGUAAAACCUAUUUAUGAUUUAAGACUCACAAUGCACUUAAAUAAAUCAUUUUACUCCCAAAGUAUGUGCGACAGAAAAGGAAAAAAGAGCAACAGAUAAAGUACCGCAAGGGAACGCUGAAAAAGAAAUGAAAUAAAUCAAUUAAGUACUAAAUAGCAGAGCUUACCCCUCGUACCUUUUGCAUCAUGAUUUAGCAAGUAAAAUGCAAGCAAAGAGCCCUUUAGUUUGCGACCCCGAAACUGAGCGAGCUACUCCAGGACAGCCUAUUGUAGGGCAAACCCGUCUCUGUGGCAAAAGAGUGGGAAGAUCUUCGAGUAGAGGUGACAAACCUACCGAGCACAGUAAUAGCUGGUUGCCUGGGAAUUGAAUAGAAGUUCAGCC
Molecule: ribosomal RNA, 419 nt
Filed under: Epigonus telescopus (black cardinal fish)
Lineage: Eukaryota; Metazoa; Chordata; Actinopteri; Acropomatiformes; Epigonidae
Description: partial 16S ribosomal RNA
Rfam family: Bacterial large subunit ribosomal RNA
Source: RNAcentral